GUUUGCACAUUAUCAACAGGACUGCAAAAAUACUGAAUUGAUUGCAGCAGUUUUUCCAGCCAUUUGUCGCGCUGUGUUUCACCCGUUAGGACUCUGAAGUUUGAAAGGAUGAUGAAGUAUUCUGAUGCAUUAUUGGCACAACUGCCUGGAGUUUCUGCUCUAGGCUGACCCGACCUAGAUGGUGCUUCAUCAUCUCUGGUGACAUCCAAAGACAUCAUGCUCUUCUUCCUCAAAAGUCGUUUACUCUUCAAUUGGUCUUCCUGACUAACAGGGC
Molecule: unclassified non-coding RNA, 274 nt
Filed under: Hevea brasiliensis (rubber tree)
Lineage: Eukaryota; Viridiplantae; Streptophyta; Magnoliopsida; Malpighiales; Euphorbiaceae
Source: RNAcentral